UUAUUUUGUAAAUUUUAAUUUUAAAUUAUUAAUAGACUAGGUUCUUAAAAGUUAAAAAAUUUGGCGGUAUUUUAUUCAAUUCAGAGGAACCUGUUCUAUAAUUGAUAAUCCACGAUUAAUUUUACUUUAAUUAUUCUUUGUAUAUCGUCGUUUUAAUUGAAUAUUUUAUUAGGAUAAGUUGAAUUUUCUAUAAUUUAAAAUAUUAAUUUAUUUCAGAUCAAGGUGCAGGUUAUUAAAGAAGAAAUGGGUUACAUUAUUUAAAUAAAUUUGGAUUUAAUAAAGAAUUUUAUUAAUAAAAUUGGAUUUGAUUGUAAAAAAUUAAAUAUUUAAUUUUUGAUAAAUUGCUCUAAAAUGUGU
This 357-nucleotide ribosomal RNA is filed under the name Cantharidae sp. CO1205. RNAcentral's name for it is "partial 12S ribosomal RNA". The record is from RNAcentral. Lineage: Eukaryota; Metazoa; Arthropoda; Insecta; Coleoptera; Cantharidae.